RNAcentral lists this ribosomal RNA (620 nucleotides) under Inocybe sp. YM181. RNAcentral's name for it is "eukaryotic LSU rRNA". The stretch from base 209 to 362 matches the Rfam family "5.8S ribosomal RNA". Lineage: Eukaryota; Fungi; Basidiomycota; Agaricomycetes; Agaricales; Inocybaceae. The record is from RNAcentral.
UUGCUGGCCCCCUUGGGGGUACGUGCACGCUUGUCAUCUUUACUUCUCCAACUGUGCACAUGCUGUAGAUCUGGGAGCCCUUUUUAUUCUUGAAUAGAUCGAGGAUUGCUGCACUCGAGUGUCGGCUUUGCCUUGCGUUUCCAGAUCUAUGUUUUCUUCACAAUCUCAGAAUGUGUCUAGAAUGUUGAAUUGGAUGAUAAUAAUAUACAACUUUCAGCAACGGAUCUCUUGGCUCUCGCAUCGAUGAAGAACGCAGCGAAAUGCGAUAAGUAAUGUGAAUUGCAGAAUUCAGUGAAUCAUCGAAUCUUUGAACGCAUCUUGCGCUCCUUGGUAUUCCGAGGAGCAUGCCUGUUUGAGUGUCAUUUGAGUUCUCAAACCAUGCUGAUUUCAUUGGCAUGGCUUUGGAUAUGGGGGUUUUUGUUUGCAGGCUUCUGAAAAUUGAAGUCAGCUCCCCUGAAAUUCAUUAGUGGUAUCUGAGCAGAGACUACUUACAGGUGUGAUAAUCAUCUAUCUACGCCUCGGUAUGCUGCAUGAAACAGAUUGCACCGCUCAUAACGAGUGAAAUAUUUGACAAGUUUGACCUCAAAUCAGGUAGGACUACCCGCUGAACUUAAGCAUAU